Molecule: ribosomal RNA, 536 nt
Filed under: Theileria uilenbergi
Lineage: Eukaryota; Apicomplexa; Aconoidasida; Piroplasmida; Theileriidae
Description: SSU rRNA
Rfam family: Eukaryotic small subunit ribosomal RNA
Source: RNAcentral
GAGGUAGUGACAAGAAAUAACAAUACGGGGCUUAACGUCUUGUAAUUGGAAUGAUGGGAAUCUAAACCUCUUCCAGAGUAUCAAUUGGAGGGCAAGUCUGGUGCCAGCAGCCGCGGUAAUUCCAGCUCCAAUAGCGUAUAUUAAAAUUGUUGCAGUUAAAAAGCUCGUAGUUGAAUUUCUGCCGCCCCGCCUCUGCCCCUCGACGGGCGUUUGCGCCGCGGCUUUUUCGGAUUAUGCUUGCAUUUUCCGAGUGUUACUUUGAGAAAAUUAGAGUGCUCAAAGCAGGCUUUUGCCUUGAAUAGUUUAGCAUGGAAUAAUAGAGUAGGACUUUGGUUCUAUUUUGUUGGUUUUAGGUCCCAAAGUAAUGGUUAAUAGGAACAGUUGGGGGCAUUCGUAUUUAACUGUCAGAGGUGAAAUUCUUAGAUUUGUUAAAGACGAACUACUGCGAAAGCAUUUGCCAAGGAUGUUUUCAUUAAUCAAGAACGAAAGUUAGGGGAUCGAAGACGAUCAGAUACCGUCGUAGUCCUAACCAUAAA